This 73-nucleotide transfer RNA is filed under the name Phyllodactylus delcampoi (Del Campo's leaf-toed gecko). RNAcentral's name for it is "tRNA-Asn". The record is from RNAcentral. Lineage: Eukaryota; Metazoa; Chordata; Lepidosauria; Squamata; Phyllodactylidae.
UGAGUUAAAGCCCGCUGGAUGGGGUGUCUAGUUGUUAAUUACAAUUUUGCGGGAUCGARGCCCGUUAGCUUAG